RNAcentral lists this ribosomal RNA (413 nucleotides) under uncultured microorganism. RNAcentral describes it as "bacterial SSU rRNA". It matches the Rfam family "Bacterial small subunit ribosomal RNA", at positions 9 to 418 of the family's 1533-position model. The record is from RNAcentral.
GAGUUUGAUCAUGGCUCAGAUUGAACGCUGGCGGCAUGCCUUACACAUGCAAGUCGAACGGCAGCAUGAUCUAGCUUGCUAGAUUGAUGGCGAGUGGCGAACGGGUGAGUAAUACAUCGGAACGUGCCCUGUAGUGGGGGAUAACUAGUCGAAAGAUUAGCUAAUACCGCAUACGACCUGAGGGUGAAAGUGGGGGACCGCAAGGCCUCAUGCUAUAGGAGCGGCCGAUGUCUGAUUAGCUAGUUGGUGGGGUAAAGGCCCACCAAGGCGACGAUCAGUAGCUGGUCUGAGAGGACGAUCAGCCACACUGGGACUGAGACACGGCCCAGACUCCUACGGGAGGCAGCAGUGGGGAAUUUUGGACAAUGGGCGAAAGCCUGAUCCAGCAAUGCCGCGUGUGUGAAGGAGGCCUC